RNAcentral lists this ribosomal RNA (370 nucleotides) under Nipponacmea nigrans. RNAcentral describes it as "partial 12S ribosomal RNA". The record is from RNAcentral. Lineage: Eukaryota; Metazoa; Mollusca; Gastropoda; Lottiidae.
GCAUUAAUCCUAACCCAAGGGACUUGGCGGUGCAAUAGAUGAUCCGCGAACUUCUUACCUUCUCUUGUAUAAGUUUUCCUUUAGGGGGGACUUAUGUCAGUUUGCAUACCGCCGUUUUCAGCUUGUAUCGCGAGGUAAAAGAAACAGGCUAUUCAGUAAGUGAACGUUUGUCUACGCAGGUGAAAUUUAUGUUUUACCCGGGGGCAAUGGGACUGCUAGGAAUUCAGGUAAAAGUGCAGCCUAUGGGAAGGGGGCAGCUGGGUUACAGUUGGUGUUUGAAUUGGAGUGUAGUCCGAAGUGGCUGUGUGAAAGAGUACUUGGAAGUAAUGACUUUAGGCAAUGGAGUCGUGAAUAGUGCUCUAGUGUGUGU